This 497-nucleotide ribosomal RNA is filed under the name uncultured bacterium. RNAcentral's name for it is "partial 16S ribosomal RNA". It matches the Rfam family "Bacterial small subunit ribosomal RNA", at positions 28 to 507 of the family's 1533-position model. The record is from RNAcentral.
GAUGAACGCUGGCGGCGUGCCUAAUACAUGCAAGUCGAGCGAACAGAUGAGGAGCUUGCUCCCCUGACGUUAGCGGCGGACGGGUGAGUAACACGUGGAUAACCUACCUAUAAGACUGGGAUAACUUCAGGAAACCGGAGCUAAUACCGGAUAAUAUAUUGAACCGCAUGGUUCAAUAGUGAAAGACGGUUUUGCUGUCACUUAUAGAUGGAUCCGCGCCGCAUUAGCUAGUUGGUAAGGUAACGGCGUACCAAGGCAACGAUGCGUAGCCGACCUGAGAGGGUGAUCGGCCACACUGGAACUGAGACACGCUCCAGACUCCUACGGGAGGCAGCAGUAGGGAAUCUUGCGCAAUGGGCGAAAGCCUGACGGAGCAACGCCGCGUGAGUGAUGAAGGUCUUCGGAUCGUAAAACUCUGUUAUUAGGGAAGAACAAAUGUGUAAGUAACUAUGCACGUCUUGACGGUACCUAAUCAGAAAGCCACGGCUAACUACGUG